Nematostella vectensis (starlet sea anemone) is the source of this 1501-nucleotide long non-coding RNA. RefSeq lists it as uncharacterized. Lineage: Eukaryota; Metazoa; Cnidaria; Anthozoa; Actiniaria; Edwardsiidae. The record is from RefSeq and is a predicted model, not a curated record. The transcript is spliced from 2 exons.
CGAGGUUGGGCACAUCUUCUGAAGUGUGGUGUCUGCGAUACUGUCCUGGAUAAGUGCGUGUGCAAGACGUGGACCUGAUUUACUUGACUCUGUAUACACAAAAAGUGACACAAAAACAUUUGGAUGUUUGCAUAGAGCGGGGUAUACCAUGACAGUCACCUUCAACUACAGGGUGUGUCCAGAGGGGGUCCAAGUCUCAUCCUGCUCAUGUGUAGAGAUGAAAAAUAAAGUGGUAAAGUCGAGAUUACUACGACUCAGAUUGAAGUACAAGGAAGAUGGCUGAGUUACGGAAUGUAUUGGAUAUUGAAAAAAUGGGUCUACUGACCUAUUGACCUUGGCUCGGGGAUAGCCUUUUAACACACACAGACAAAAUUCUGGCAUUUUCAUCACGGUUUAGAGACCAGUGAAUUACUAAGGUAUCUUUUUCUAUGGAUACGCCCUGCAGUUGUCCAGAAUCAGCUUCCAGCCAAUAGAUCUUCAUACCACGUUAAAGACACGGAUCUUAAGCAUGCAAGUUUCUGGUUUAGUUCGGAAACGCGACAAUGUUUUUUUUUCCGUUUGGCCGUCGUGGCUGAAGAGCCCAAGAGUAAGAUAAUUCAACUAUUGAGGGGUAAAAUGCUAACCUUAAGGCUGUGCGCAACUCGUCUUUUCAGAGUUUUUUUCUUCUCGGACCAUUUUUUCUUGGCAAGUUUUUUACAUGCGAUGUGCAGGUCAUUUAGCUGAUCGGCCAGAUCAGAUUGCUACAAGGAUAUAACACGGAGUAUUGUUAGGCAUUUUAUAUGCGACAUGUAGAUCAUUUAACAGAUCAGAUUGUUUAGAUUUAUAAAACAUACAGUAUAUCGUAAAUGAUAUUUUUGCACUCAGCUUUAAAAAAGCGCCCCCUCCAAUCAAAAAGGUAAGAAUAGCAGAACGCGAGAUUGUGAGAACAUACUGAGCAUUAAGUUGUUUUUAAUUCCUCACUGUUCUAAUAUUGAGCUUUAAAACAAUAUAUUUCAGACUUAAGCUAAGGUCUGAAUUUUAAAUCUAGCGCCCUGCUUUAAAUAAGCUCCCCCCCAUCGUAGGCUCGGUGGUUUCGGUGCGCCCGCGAUCCUUUCCCAUUCCACUUACCUCUUGAAAGUCCGUCGGUAAAUACGUUACCAUAAUUAUCACAACAAGAGUUUAAAACGGCGGCGGGAGGGUUCGAGAAAAUGUUUAACUCAGCGUUAGAAAAGUUCGGUUAAGAAGACUGUAGGCCCCAGCAAAAGCUUGCCGUGAAAGAGCUAUUUUCAGGCAGAAAAAAAAAAACGGUCCGCACAUCACGCAUAAUUAUCUCAGUUACGAUGUGACGUCACGAACAUGGUGCCUCGACCGUGCGCCCAGCCGUCAGUGGAGGAGCAAAGCGCGACGAAACCGAGCCUACCCCCAUUGCGAACAUAGGGAUUAGAUUAGUGCCAGGGGCGAUAAAACAGCAAUUACGGUACCAAGAGCUAUAUGCAGAGUAAUAUGAUUAUAUGAAGGAUGC